GACGAACGCUGGCGGCGUGCUUAACACAUGCAAGUCGAACGGAAAGGCCCUGCUUUUGUGGGGUGCUCGAGUGGCGAACGGGUGAAUAACACGUGAGUAACCUGCCCUUGACUUUGGGAUAACUUCAGGAAACUGGGGCUAAUACCGGAUAGGAGCUCCUGCUGCAUGGUGGGGGUUGGAAAGUUUCGGCGGUUGGGGAUGGACUCGCGGCUUAUCAGCUUGUUGGUGGGGUAGUGGCUUACCAAGGCUUUGACGGGUAGCCGGCCUGAGAGGGUGACCGGCCACAUUAGGACUGAGAUACGGCCCAGACUCCUACGGGAGGCAGCAGUGGGGAAUAUUGCACAAUGGGCGGAAGCCUGAUGCAGCAACGCCGCGUGCGGGAUGACGGCCUUCGGGUUGUAAACCGCUUUCGCCUGUGACGAAGCGUGAGUGACGGUAAUGGGUAAAGAAGCACCGGCUAACUACGUG
This 468-nucleotide ribosomal RNA is filed under the name uncultured bacterium. RNAcentral's name for it is "partial 16S ribosomal RNA". It matches the Rfam family "Bacterial small subunit ribosomal RNA", at positions 28 to 507 of the family's 1533-position model. The record is from RNAcentral.